Molecule: ribosomal RNA, 416 nt
Filed under: Amphipoda sp. BOLD:ADF7381
Lineage: Eukaryota; Metazoa; Arthropoda; Malacostraca; Amphipoda
Description: partial 16S ribosomal RNA
Source: RNAcentral
UAGCAUAGUGAUUUGUCUUUUAAUUGGAGACUGGGAUGAAAGGUUAAACAAAGGGUAGUGUCUUUUUUGGUUGUAGUAAUUUAGAUUCAGUGUGAAAAUACUAAGAUAGUGUAAAGGGACGAUAAGACCCUAAAAGCUUUAUUUUUGUGUAUUUAGGUUAUGUUAAUAUUUGUAUUAGGUUUAGCUGGGGUAGUAGUUGUAUUUAAUCUAUGAUUUUAGGUUUUGCGGGGAGGAUUGGGUAGAGUUCUUUUAUAUAAGGAAAAUUCGAGAAAGUUACUUUAGGGUUAACAGCGUAAUAUUUUCGGAGAGAUCUUAUUUAUGGGAGUGAUUGCGACCUCGAUGUUGAAUUAUUAUUUCUUUUUGGAGCAUAGGCUAAGGAAGAGGGUUUGUUCAACCCUUAAAUUUUUACAUGAUUU